GUUUUUCAUAAAAUAACAUAACAUGGGAAUUAUAUCAUAAAUAUAUAUAUUUUCCGAAAGUAAAUACACAUGACAUUUCUCACUCAGCGAGAUAAUAACAGCACUAAUACACACAAGCUCUCUCUCUCUCUCUCUCUUUCUUUCUCUGUGUGUCUCUGUCUCUCUCGCUCUCUUUCUAAUAACUUCAUUAAUAACUGCAUUAGAUUGCUAUCAACGGCUCAAGCCUCCAUUACCAGCCUUAAAAUUAUGUUUUGGAACCAGCAAAAGAGGCGUUUGAUGAGAUGCGGAAGAAAUAAUCCUACUCACAAUAGCGAUUUAAGUACAAAAACCGAUGAAUCCCUUUAAAUAUAUUAUCUGAUCGAUGUCUUGAAGUGUGGUAACCAUAGUAUAAGCGGAAUACUUCGCGUCCUGGCCGCAUCACCACCUCGGUUGUGCAUUAUUUUUCUAAUAAUUCAACUGAUAGUUCCGGUCCUUGAUUCUGAUUGGUUGAGCCGCGUUGUAAAUUACUCUACAAACAUACACCUUUGUUUAUUUCUGUGUGUUGCUCGGCAACCACUUUGUUGGAACCACAUUGUUUGGUGAAAGAAUACUGCUUUUAUUUAUAUCAUUACACUUUAUUUAACUCUGUUUUAUUCUGUGAAACCUUACUACUUAUAUGGAGUAACCGUUUUAUAAAAGCAAUAAGCCCCCGUGAAGCAGUGGUUUACAGUGAAUUUAUAAAUCUGUAAACCACGGCUUCUUGGGGGUUAUAGUUAUAUAUCACACAACUACAAAAAAUAUGUAACUUGCAACAUGCAGGAAAUAAUGACAUAAUAAGUGACGAAAAAAGGAGGAGGAGGAACUAAAACCAGACAAGGGUAAUGUUUUCACAUCUGCUCAGUAAGGAAAUACUUGAGGCUGCAACAUGAUGAUGAAUCUCCUUGCAGCCAUAUGGACCCUGACGCCUUUGAUUCUGUUGGGCACUCUUGCUGCUGACUGGACAGUGCGUGUUCCUAUGGAUCCAGUCUAUGCUACUUCUGGUUCUUCUGUAGUUUUGGAGUGCACCUAUGACUACCCAGAAGAGUCUGACCAGGGAAUACUACGCAAAGUGCUGUCAGAGAUGUGGUGUCUGAAUGAAAGCCGCUGCAUUACUCCCAGAUACGUGUACCACAGUGCAGGGAUAUUCCCUGAGCCCUCAUACCAGGGCCGAGUCAAGUACUUGGGGCAGACAGGAAGCAAAAACUGCUCUCUGAUGAUAUCUGAUCUGAGGUCAGAAGACAGCGGCGUGUACGUGUUCCGGUUCAUCACCGACCACCUGAAAGCCAAGCUACCAGGACAGAGAGGAGUGAAUCUACAGGUCACACAUCAGAUAAAAUGGGAGAGAGGUCAAUAUCACUUUAAACCAGCUAUUACCACGGAGGAUGAAAAAAAUUACUUUUGA
Molecule: long non-coding RNA, 1420 nt
Organism: Cyprinus carpio (common carp)
Lineage: Eukaryota; Metazoa; Chordata; Actinopteri; Cypriniformes; Cyprinidae
Source: Ensembl